Molecule: ribosomal RNA, 2070 nt
Filed under: Triticum aestivum (bread wheat)
Lineage: Eukaryota; Viridiplantae; Streptophyta; Magnoliopsida; Poales; Poaceae
Description: partial small subunit ribosomal RNA
Source: RNAcentral
AUGGGAACUCCCUUGACACCAUUGUUGUACCUCUGCCUACUGCUGGUGCCAUGCCUUCUUCUCUUGCAAGAAGCACAUGCGGCGCGCCAUGGAGGGAUCUCACUGAGGUCUCAACGCAUGGCCCUCCUCCACUGGAAAGCUACACUCGCGAGCCCACCGCUGCAGAUGAGCUCUUGGCAUGAAAACACCAGCCCAUGCAACUGGACAGGCAUCAUGUGCACUGCUGUUCGCCAUGGCCGCCGCAUGCCCUGGGUGGUGACCAACAUCUCCCUACCAGAUGCUGGCAUCCAUGGCACUCUUGGUGAGCUCAACUUCUCGGCUCUUCCAUUCCUCGCAUAUAUUGACCUUCAGAACAACACUCUCCAUGGUGCACUACCGCCUAGUAUCAACUCCUUGUCAGCACUUUCAGUACUUAGCCUUCCCUACAACCAGCUCACAGGGAAAAUUCCUUGUGAGAUUGGUGACCUGCAAAGUCUCAUGUUACUUGAUCUCUCAUUCAACAGACUCACAGGACAUAUCCCUUCAUCUCUGGGCAACCUAACAAUGUUAACUGAUCUUGUCAUUCACCAAAACAUGGUAUCAGGUCCCAUUCCCGAGAAGAUUGGAAGUCUUGUCAACCUACAACUUCUACAGCUAAGCAAUAGCACCUUAAGUGGUUUGAUACCAAAAACCCUUGGAAAUCUGACCCAACUAAAUACUUUAGCCCUAUUUGGUAAUCAACUUUCAGGGCCUAUACCCCAAGAACUAGGAAGGCUAGUCCAUUUGCAAAUUCUUCAACUUGAGUCAAAUGAUCUUUCAGGACCUUUACCUGCAAAUAUAAUUUCAGGCAGCAAACUUCAAUAUCUCGGUGUCUCUCAUAAUAUGUUCAAUGGACCCAUUCCAAGGAGUUUAAAGACAUGUACGAGUUUGACUAAAAUUGACCUUUUGUCGAACCAACUAACAGGAGAUAUAUCUCAGCAUUUUGGUGUAUAUCCACAACUCAUACAGAUGAGCUUGGCAUCGAAUAGACUGUGUGGGCAGAUCCCACCAAAUCUAGGUGCAUCUACCCGACUAACAAUACUAAAUCUAGCAAAAAAUAUGCUCACAGGUUCCAUACCUCCAAUCCUUUAUAAAUUGUCCAACCUAGAAAAACUAAGACUCGAUUAUAGUUUGUGUGGUAACCUCUCUGGCCUGCCACCUUGUGAUUCAACUCCAGUAGUUGGUCACCAUGAGCGAAAGACACUUGGUUUGCUUUUGCCAAUUAUUCCUGUGGUGGGUUUCGGCGUUGUUGCUGCAAUUGUUGUCAUAAUAAUUUUUAGUCGUAACAAGAGAAAACCACUGGAAAGUGUUGCUGCUGAAGGAAGGGACCUAUUCUCCGUUUGGAAUUUUGAUGGAAGAUUAGCAUUUGAUGAUAUUGUAAGGGCAACAAAAGACUUCGACGAGAAGUACAUCAUUGGAACAGGAGGAUACGGCAAAGUCUACAAGGCACAACUCCAAGACGGGCAUCUAGUUGCUGUGAAGAAGCUUCAUCAGACUCAAGAAGAGUUGGAUGACGAAAGAAGAUUUCACAGUGAAAUGGAAAUCUUAUCACAGAUCCGACAACGAAGCAUCGUCAAAAUGUAUGGAUUCUGCUCCCAUCCGGUGUAUAAAUUUCUUGUCUACGAGUAUAUUCAGCGGGGCAGCCUUCACGGGACAUUGGAAAAUGAGGAGCUAGCAAAGGAAUUAGAUUGGCAGAAGAGAAUUACUCUUGCAACUGAUGUGGCUCAAGCAAUAUCUUAUUUGCACCAUGAAUGCAGUCCACCCAUAAUCCAUCGAGAUAUCACGAGCAACAACAUCUUACUUGAUAUAACCUUCAAGGCUUUUGUCUCGGAUUUCGGCACAGCAAGGAUUCUUAAGCCCGAUUCAUCAAACUGGAGUGCACUAGCAGGAACAUAUGGCUACAUAGCUCCUGAACUAUCAUACACAUCUGUUGUGACAGAGAAAUGUGAUGUAUAUAGCUUUGGUGUGGUUGUGCUAGAGCUAGUGAUGGGGAAGCAUCCAAGGGAUAAAUUAGGCAGUAGUUUGCUAAGCGGGAAACAAGCUAUGCUGGUG